RNAcentral lists this ribosomal RNA (408 nucleotides) under uncultured bacterium. RNAcentral describes it as "partial 16S ribosomal RNA". It matches the Rfam family "Bacterial small subunit ribosomal RNA", at positions 29 to 526 of the family's 1533-position model. The record is from RNAcentral.
AGUGAACGCUGUCGGCGUGCCUAAUACAUGCAAGUCGAACGGAGUGGAGCAAGGGUGAGUAAUAUAUAGCUAAUCUGCCCCUCGCUGGAGGACAACAGUUAGAAAUGACUGCUAAUACUCCAUAGGAAGGGUUGGGACUAUAUCGUAUCAGCUAGUCGGUGGGGUAACGGCCUACCGAGGCUAUGCCGCGUAACUGGUCUGAGAGGAUGAUCAGUCACAUUCGAACAGAGACACGGUCCAAACUCCGGCGGGAGGAAGCAGUAGGGAAUAUCUCUCAAUGGGGGAAACCCUGACGCAGCAACGGCGCGUGGAGGAAUACACUUUUCGGUGCAUAAACUCCUUGUGUUAGGGAAGCGGUACCUAACGAAUAAGCACCGGCUAACUACGUGCCAGCAGCCGCGGUAAUAC